RNAcentral lists this long non-coding RNA (1648 nucleotides) under Salmo salar (Atlantic salmon). RNAcentral describes it as "lncRNA (ENSSSAG00000085397.1, ENSSSAG00075013545.1)". The record is from RNAcentral. Lineage: Eukaryota; Metazoa; Chordata; Actinopteri; Salmoniformes; Salmonidae.
UCAAGAAUGGUCCAGCACCCAAAAGAUAUCCAGCCAAUGGCAGGCCAGUGGUCAAAAACAGGUCAUUGAUGAAAGAGGACAAAGGAAGCUGACACAAAUUGUGCAGAGCAACAGAGAGGCUACAGUUAUUCAACUGACAGUCCAGUAUAACAUUAGUGCCCAAAGACCCAUAAAAUAAUUCAUAACUCGUCAUACCUUGACACGGAUGGGGUAUGGCAGCCGAUAUUCCACUUCUUUCAGAAAAAAAACAAGAAACGGCGGUUGCAGUGGGCUACGGAACGAAAACCAUUGACACUGGAGAAUUGGAAAAACAUUGCCUGGUCUGAUGAAUCCCGGUUCCGGCUGUUUCACGCUGAUGGGACUAUAUAUCCAUCAUGCCACGUGUCAACAUUGCAGGCUGGUGGUGUGAUGGUGUGGGGUGUGUUUUCAUGGCACACAUUGGGCCCCUCGGUAAAAGUGGACCAACAUUUGAAUGCCAUAGGAUAUCUGACUAUCAUUGCCAAUCAGGUGCAUCCCUUCAUGGCAGCAGUGUAUCCAUCUGCUAACUGAUUUUUUUCAGGAGGAUAAUGCCCCAUGCCACAAGGCUAGGAUUGUCCAGGAAUGGUUCCACGAACAUGACCGUGAAUUCAGCUUACUGCAGUGGCCUGCCCAGUCACCAGAUCUUAUUCCAAUUGAGCAUCUGUGGGAUGAGAUGAAACAAGAUAUUUGAGAGAGAGAUCCACUGACAUUACCAGCCAACUUGACACAACUGUGGGAAGCAUUGGAGUCAACAUGGGGCAGCAUCCCUGUGGAACACUUUCAACACCUUGUAGAGUCCAUGCCCCGAUGCAUUGAGGCUGUUCUGAGGGCAAAAGGGGGUGCAACUCGAGAUUAGGAAGGUGUUCUUAAUGUUUUCUACACUCAGUGUAUUUCAACUGAUCUAACUCCUGUUAGGGUUUAACCAACUAUUUGUUAGCAUAACCUAUAUAAAAUAACAGAGAAGCUAUGCCACAAUAUUAAGUAUAUAAACUAUAGAUAAUUGAAUACUGCUAUAUGUUAGAGUAAGUGGCUCAUGUGAUGGUGGGUCAUGUGGACAGAAUGAUGAUGCUUUAAAACAGGGUUUUGCAAGAGCUUUUUGCUGAACAACAGCAAUAACAAGAUAAUGGGUGCAAUGUAGGGGUUUUAGAGAACUGUGCAUUGGGUAACAAGGUGUAGGCAGCUGACUUAGUGAUAGGAGGUUGUGAAACCCAUCACAAGGGGAGCAUGUGAGGAACAGGUAGAGUGGAGAAACAACAGUAUAAGUAAAUCACUGGAAAUUGAGUGGUUGCUGACUCUUGAGUAUACGCUAAGAAGAUAAGAUCCAACGCCAGGCAACAUGUGAUGCGUCACGAGGUUGGGACCAACCUGCACGCCAACGAUAGGCUGGAGUAAGUCUAAACCACACCCAGUCUCUACUCUGACAGGCCCAUCAAGGAGUGGGAACUACGUCUGUCAAGAAGUAUUUAAAGAAGAACUUGUGAUGACAUUUCAGUUCUCUGUCUGCCCUGCGUGGUGUUACAGAGAGACCAUCUUCAAGGGAGAAUCAAGCACUGACCUUGGGGCAGAUAGAAGCCAUUCAUAGCCAAUGAUGGCCAACGAUUUGCGAUGAUGUCAGUUGAGUACAUGUUAC